GACGAACGCUGGCGGCGUGCUUAACACAUGCAAGUCGAACGGAAAGGCCCUGCUUGCAGGGUACUCGAGUGGCGAACGGGUGAGUAACACGUGGGUGAUCUGCCCUGCACUUCGGGAUAAGCCUGGGAAACUGGGUCUAAUACCGGAUAGGAGCCAUUUUUAGUGUGAUGGUUGGAAAGUUUUUUCGGUGUAGGAUGAGCUCGCGGCCUAUCAGCUUGUUGGUGGGGUAAUGGCCUACCAAGGCGGCGACGGGUAGCCGGCCUGAGAGGGUGGACGGCCACAUUGGGACUGAGAUACGGCCCAGACUCCUACGGGAGGCAGCAGUGGGGAAUAUUGCACAAUGGGCGCAAGCCUGAUGCAGCGACGCCGCGUGGGGGAUGACGGCCUUCGGGUUGUAAACGCCUUUCGCUAGGGAUGAAGCUUUUUGUGACGGUACCUAGAUAAGAAGCACCGGCUAACUACGUG
This 465-nucleotide ribosomal RNA is filed under the name uncultured bacterium. RNAcentral's name for it is "partial 16S ribosomal RNA". It matches the Rfam family "Bacterial small subunit ribosomal RNA", at positions 28 to 507 of the family's 1533-position model. The record is from RNAcentral.